ACUCCUACGGGAGGCAGCAGUGGGGAAUAUUGCACAAUGGGGGAAACCCUGAUGCAGCCAUGCCGCGUGUGUGAAGAAGGCCUUCGGGUUGUAAAGCACUUUCAGUAGGGAGAUGAAGGUAGUUAGUAGUUAACCACCUUGCUAUUAUUUGACCGUUACCUACAGAAGAAGCACCGGCUAACUCCGUGCCAGCAGCCGCGGUAAUACGGAGGGUGCGAGCGUUAAUCGGAAUUACUGGGCGUAAAGCGCAUGCAGGCGGCCUGUUAAGUCAGAUGUGAAAGCCCGGGGCUUAACCUCGGAAUUGCAUUUGAAACUGGCAGGCUAGAGUCUUGUAGAGGGGGGUAGAAUUUCAGGUGUAGCGGUGAAAUGCGUAGAGAUCUGAAGGAAUACCAGUGGCGAAGGCGGCCCCCUGGACAAAGACUGACGCUCAGAUGCGAAAGCGUGGGGAGCAAACAGGAUUAGAUACCCUGGUAGGAUAG
This 479-nucleotide ribosomal RNA is filed under the name uncultured bacterium. Its description in RNAcentral is "bacterial SSU rRNA". It matches the Rfam family "Bacterial small subunit ribosomal RNA", at positions 335 to 798 of the family's 1533-position model. The record is from RNAcentral.